Molecule: long non-coding RNA, 415 nt
Organism: Girardinichthys multiradiatus
Lineage: Eukaryota; Metazoa; Chordata; Actinopteri; Cyprinodontiformes; Goodeidae
Exons: 3
Source: RefSeq, a predicted model, not a curated record
ACCUUUCAUGUUGUAUGUGUAAGCAAACAUGUGAUGAGUUGUUUGCAGACAAGGAGGAAAGGUGGAAUCGAGAUGAUGCAGCCACAGUUGAGGACAUCACAAAGGCAACAGCUGAUUGUGCUGAACAACGAUCGCACAUAUCUUGAGAUUAUGGAGACAAUGCAAGCGUGGGCGUUAAGAGCUGAGGAGCUGGUCGUCAGGUGUUUCGCAUGAUUGUCAUCAGCUAGAGGACUAUAAGAAGGAGGCGAGCCAGUACUUCGACGCCUGAGUGUUUUGCCUCUUCGUGGUUGACCAAGCCUCGCUCAUGUGAGAUAUCUGAAGAAACUUUCCAAUAGCUUUUUGGACUCUGGAUUCUUGUUUUUGUUCCACUGGCAACCAGAUUAGAGAUUGUUCUCACAGCUUCAUGCGAACCCUG